UACGGAGGGAGCUAGCGUUGUUCGGAAUUACUGGGCGUAAAGCGCACGUAGGCGGUUAUUCAAGUCAGAGGUGAAAGCCCGGAGCUCAACUCCGGAAUAGCCUUUGAAACUAGAUAACUUGAAUCCAGGAGAGGUGAGUGGAAUUCCGAGUGUAGAGGUGAAAUUCGUAGAUAUUCGGAAGAACACCAGUGGCGAAGGCGGCUCACUGGACUGGUAUUGACGCUGAGGUGCGAAAGCGUGGGGAGCAAACAGG
RNAcentral lists this ribosomal RNA (253 nucleotides) under uncultured bacterium. Its description in RNAcentral is "partial 16S ribosomal RNA". It matches the Rfam family "Bacterial small subunit ribosomal RNA", at positions 524 to 776 of the family's 1533-position model. The record is from RNAcentral.